CACAAAUGAUGACAAAUUUUCUGAAAGGGAGAGAGUUUGAGUACAAGUCUUUGUUUCAUUGUAGGGCAUGCUUCACUGCUCUCCAAAACAGAAUUUGUUCUGUUUUUUAUGAUCUUGCGCUGAUAAUACGUGCGUAAACCUACCUUAAUCAUGUAAAAGCUUUCACCAGCUUGUUGAAUUUUCAUACAGAUGGAGCUCAUUGCAAAAGUAAGGAACCCUUACAUUGUGGAGUACAAAGAGGCUUGGGUAGAGAAGGUGAGCAUGGUCUCCUGCCCUUGCUGUGGACAGUGGCAGCAUCCUAAGGGCAAUCUUCGGUCUUGUUCCUUUCCUUGAUGUAACAAUGGUCCUGAUGAAGGAUGUAUAUGUUCACAAUUGCUUGAAAAGGAACGAUUUUUGUUGUUAUCAGG
RNAcentral lists this long non-coding RNA (407 nucleotides) under Setaria italica (foxtail millet). RNAcentral's name for it is "long non-coding RNA (SITA_LNC000915)". Lineage: Eukaryota; Viridiplantae; Streptophyta; Magnoliopsida; Poales; Poaceae. The record is from RNAcentral.